Molecule: ribosomal RNA, 542 nt
Filed under: uncultured bacterium
Lineage: Bacteria
Description: partial 16S ribosomal RNA
Rfam family: Bacterial small subunit ribosomal RNA
Source: RNAcentral
GCAUUUUCGGGAGGUGGCACACAUGGGUUAUUUUGGGACGGGGGCACCCCGCAUGGACCAUGAGGGCUUUGGGGGUGUAAACCUUUUUUGUUUUGUCCCCCCUUUUCGGGGCGAACAUUUUGACGGUCCCCCAGAAAAAACCCCCGGCUAAUUAUGUCCCACCACCCGCGGUAAUACAGAGGGUCCGAGCUUUUUCCGGAUUUUUUGGGCUUAAAGGGCGCUUAGGCGGUGGUUUAUUCCCGGGGUGAAAACCCGGGGUUCAACCCGGGGUCGUCGUUGGAAACUGCCGCUCUUGAGACCGCUAGGGGCAGGUGGAAUUCCGGGUGUAGCGGUGAAAUGCGUAGAGAUCGGGAAGAACACCGGUGGCGAAGGCGGCCUUCUGGGCCUUCCCUGACUCUGAGGCGCGAAAGCGUGGGGAGCAAACGGGAUUAGAUACCCUGGUAGUCCACCCCGUAAACGAUGGACACUAGGUUUGGGGGGGAUCGACCCCCUCGGUGCCGCAGCUAACGCGUAAGUGCCCCGCCUGGGAGUACGGCCGCAGG